RNAcentral lists this transfer RNA (76 nucleotides) under Ancylostoma caninum (dog hookworm). Its description in RNAcentral is "tRNA-Ile". It matches the Rfam family "tRNA". Rfam says of the family: Transfer RNA (tRNA) molecules are approximately 80 nucleotides in length. Their secondary structure includes four short double-helical elements and three loops (D, anti-codon, and T loops). The record is from RNAcentral. Lineage: Eukaryota; Metazoa; Nematoda; Chromadorea; Rhabditida; Ancylostomatidae.
GCUGCGCCAUAGCUCAGUCGGUUAGAGCGUGGGUCUAAUAAGCCCAAGGUCGCAGGUUCGACCCCUGCCGGCGGCC